This 354-nucleotide unclassified non-coding RNA is filed under the name soil metagenome. RNAcentral describes it as "partial contains 5.8S ribosomal RNA, internal transcribed spacer 2, and large subunit ribosomal RNA". The stretch from base 1 to 120 matches the Rfam family "5.8S ribosomal RNA", at positions 35 to 154 of the family's 154-position model. The record is from RNAcentral.
GAUGAAGAACGUAGCGAAACGCGAUAUGUAAUGUGAAUUGCAGAAUUCAGUGAAUCAUCGAAUCUUUGAACGCACAUGGCGCCUUCCAGUAUCCUGGGAGGCAUGCCUGUCCGAGCGUCGUUUCAACCCUCGAGCCCCCGUGGCCCGGCGUUGGGGAUCUGCCCAGGCAGUCCCCGAAAACCAGUGGCGGACCCGUUACAGGCCCUUCCCUUGCGUAGUAGCAUUCGCCUCGCAUCGGGAGCCGGCGGGCUUCCAGCCUCUAAACCCCCAUCAAGUCCGCCCCGGCGGCGCCAAGGUUGACCUCGGAUCAGGUAGGAAUACCCGCUGAACUUAAGCAUAUCAAUAAGCGGAGGA